GAUAGUCUUGAAAAGUUCACCACUGCACUUCUCUUUUGAGUAGCAUCUAAAAGGAAAGGUUUUCCCAUUUAUAGUUCAGACCAAAAUUACUCAUAGAACAAAAGGUACUGAAUAAUCAAAAUAAACAGAGGAGUUCAUCUGUGUGAAUGUGCUUAUAGUGUAGCUAAACUACUGUUUAGUACAGUAACCCUUGCUUAAAAAAGAGAGAGA
Molecule: long non-coding RNA, 210 nt
Organism: Xiphophorus hellerii (green swordtail)
Lineage: Eukaryota; Metazoa; Chordata; Actinopteri; Cyprinodontiformes; Poeciliidae
Exons: 2
Source: RefSeq, a predicted model, not a curated record